This 482-nucleotide ribosomal RNA is filed under the name uncultured bacterium. RNAcentral's name for it is "bacterial SSU rRNA". It matches the Rfam family "Bacterial small subunit ribosomal RNA", at positions 28 to 507 of the family's 1533-position model. The record is from RNAcentral.
GAUGAACGCUAGCGGCAGGCCUAAUACAUGCAAGUCGAACGGUAACGGGCCUUCGGGUGCCGACGAGUGGCGAACGGGUGAGUAAUGCAUCGGAACGUACCUUUCAGUGGGGGAUAACGUAGCGAAAGUUACGCUAAUACCGCAUAUUCUGUGAGCAGGAAAGCAGGGGAUCGCAAGACCUUGCGCUGAUUGAGCGGCCGAUGUCAGAUUAGCUAGUUGGUGAGGUAAAGGCUCACCAAGGCGACGAUCUGUAGCGGGUCUGAGAGGAUGAUCCGCCACACUGGAACUGAGACACGGUCCAGACUCCUACGGGAGGCAGCAGUGGGGAAUUUUGGACAAUGGGGGCAACCCUGAUCCAGCCAUGCCGCGUGAGUGAAGAAGGCCUUCGGGUUGUAAAGCUCUUUCGGCCGGGAAAAAAUCGCAUCAGUUAAUACCUGGUGUGGAUGAUGGUACCGGAAUAAGAAGCACCGGCUAACUACGUG